GGUGUGAUGUAGGUUUAUGUAAACUGAAGAUGAUGAAGGUGUGAUGUAGGUUUAUGUAAACUGAAGAUGAUGAAGGUGUGAUGUAGGUUUAUGUAAACUGAAGGUGAUAAAGGUGUGAUGUAGGUUUAUGUAAACUGAAGGUGAUAAAGGUGUGUGGUAGGUUUAUGUAAACUGAAGAUGAUGAAGGUGUGAUGUAGGUUUAAGUAAACUGAAGAUGAUGAAGGUGUGAUGUAGGUUUAUGUAAACUGAAGGUGAUUAAAGCGUGAUGUAGGUUAUAUAAAUUGAAGGUGAUGAAGGUGUGAUGUAGGUUUAUGUAAAUUGAAGAUGAUAAAGGUGUGAUGUAGGUUUAUGUAAAUUGAAGGUGUGAUAUAGGAUUAUGUAAAUUGAAGGUGAUAUGGGUGUAAAAGUCAGUAUCUGAUUUUAAAUCUUAAUGCUGAUAAUGGUGGUGAAGAUGAUGGCACAGCUGAAACACAGACUAUUUUAAGGACUGUGCCAUAUUUUUAGUAAAGCAAAUUUAUUGUGGAACAAUUCAACUUCGUAUGUUCAUUUUUUAAUAUUUUAUGUUCUUGCUUUCUCAGCAGUUUAAACUGUACAUUAGAACACUGCCUUGUUUUGUCAGAUUACUACUAGAUGUAAACUGUAUAUCAAAACACUGCCUUGUUUUGUCAGAUUACUACUAGAUGUAAACUGUACAUCAAAACACUGCCU
Long non-coding RNA from Limulus polyphemus (Atlantic horseshoe crab), 708 nucleotides. RefSeq lists it as uncharacterized. NCBI's taxonomy places the organism in Eukaryota, Metazoa, Arthropoda, Merostomata, Xiphosura, Limulidae. The record is from RefSeq and is a predicted model, not a curated record. The transcript is spliced from 3 exons.